AGUAAUGGAUAGGUCGGGCAGUUUGGCCCUGCUCGUAACCCGCGCUAUGGUCAUUAGCGGGGACCGAACGCCGCGGGCGUCCGGUCAGACCGGCCGGGGCCCCGGGAGCCAACAGAGAAGCCUCGUCCGUCGGGGACAGCGGUCUACGGUGGCCGUCCGCAGGGACGUCCCAUCGUGGUUAGCCGGCGACAGCCCAUCAGGCGCGGAAGCGAGCAGUGGACCGCCGGACACCUGUCGCUCGACGGGUCGCGGGGUGGAGAAGGCAACCGGGAUUCCCCCGGCCGGAACGCCGGGCAACCGUGGCUCUCCACACU
This is a non-coding RNA of Natronococcus occultus SP4, 314 nucleotides long. It matches the Rfam family "Archaeal signal recognition particle RNA". The record is from Rfam. Lineage: Archaea; Methanobacteriati; Methanobacteriota; Halobacteria; Halobacteriales; Natrialbaceae.